UGGGGAAUAUUGGACAAUGGGCGCAAGCCUGAUCCAGCCAUGCCGCGUGAGUGAUGAAGGCCCUAGGGUUGUAAAGCUCUUUCACCGGUGAAGAUAAUGACGGUAACCGGAGAAGAAGCCCCGGCUAACUUCGUGCCAGCAGCCGCGGUAAUACGAAGGGGGCUAGCGUUGUUCGGAUUUACUGGGCGUAAAGCGCACGUAGGCGGACUUUUAAGUCAGGGGUGAAAUCCCGGGGCUCAACCCCGGAACUGCCUUUGAUACUGGAAGUCUUGAGGAUGGUAGAGGUGAGUGGAAUUCCGAGUGUAGAGGUGAAAUUCGUAGAUAUUCGGAGGAACACCAGUGGCGAAGGCGGCUCACUGGACCAUAACUGACGCUGAGGUGCGAAAGCGUGGGGAGCAAACAGG
This 404-nucleotide ribosomal RNA is filed under the name Actinomycetes bacterium. RNAcentral describes it as "Actinobacteria bacterium partial 16S ribosomal RNA". It matches the Rfam family "Bacterial small subunit ribosomal RNA", at positions 355 to 776 of the family's 1533-position model. Lineage: Bacteria; Bacillati; Actinomycetota; Actinomycetes. The record is from RNAcentral.